CCUACGGGAGGCAGCAGUGGGGGAUAUUGCACAAUGGGGGAAACCCUGAUGCAGCGACGCCGCGUGUGGGAAGAUGGUCCUCUGGAUUGUAAACCACUGUCACCAGGGACGAAGAUGACGGUACCUGGGGAGGAAGCUCCGGCUAACUACGUGCCAGCAGCCGCGGUAAUAGGUAGGGAGCGAGCGUUGUCCGGAAUUACUGGGUGUAAAGGGAGCGUAGGCGGGACUGCACGUUGGGUGUCAAAUCUACCGGCUCAACCGGUAGCCGCACUCAAAACUGCAGUUCGUGAGUGAAGUAGAGGCAGGCGGAAUUCCUAGUGUAGCGGUGAAAUGCGUAGAUAUUAGGAGGAACACCAGUGGCGAAGGCGGCCUGCUGGGCUUUUACUGACGCUGAGGCUCGAAAGUGUGGGGAGCAAACAGGAUUAGAUACCCCAGUAGUC
Molecule: ribosomal RNA, 440 nt
Filed under: uncultured bacterium
Lineage: Bacteria
Description: partial 16S ribosomal RNA
Rfam family: Bacterial small subunit ribosomal RNA
Source: RNAcentral